UAAUGUGUUGCAAACACGCCUCACCAAGACUAAACAGCGUGUCUAAACAACAGUCUUUCAUACCUCAGAUGGAGGGUGUCUGAGGAAUAUUAAUACCG
Molecule: non-coding RNA, 98 nt
Filed under: unclassified sequences
Description: PhotoRC-II RNA
Rfam family: PhotoRC-II RNA
Source: RNAcentral